UACAUAGGGGACGAGCGUUAUCCGGAAUAAUUGGGCGUAAAGGGUGCGUAGGCGGUGUGUUAAGUUCAAGGUUUAAUCGUAGGGCUCAACCCUAUAUCGCUUUGAAAACUGGCACACUAGAGUAAGAUAGAGGCAAGUGGAAUUCCAUGUGUAGCGGUAAAAUGCGUAAAUAUAUGGCAGAACACCAGAGGCGAAGGCGGCUUGCUGGGUCUUCACUGACGCUGAGGCACGAAAGCGUGGGGAGCAAACA
This 250-nucleotide ribosomal RNA is filed under the name uncultured bacterium. Its description in RNAcentral is "partial 16S ribosomal RNA". It matches the Rfam family "Bacterial small subunit ribosomal RNA", at positions 524 to 774 of the family's 1533-position model. The record is from RNAcentral.